CCGUCCUCAUUGCGGCGCUGGCAAUGGCUGCCUCUGCCUCCGCGCCAGCGAGCCAGAUGCCAUGAGGUACUAUGUUAUCCACCACCGGGACCCCGACACUCCAGAAGAUGUGGAAAAUUUCGCCGACCGGCUGGGACUAUAAUGAAUAAUAUCGUGACAAUUUUUUUAAAUUGUAAA
Long non-coding RNA from Ixodes scapularis (black-legged tick), 177 nucleotides. RefSeq lists it as uncharacterized. Lineage: Eukaryota; Metazoa; Arthropoda; Arachnida; Ixodida; Ixodidae. The transcript is spliced from 2 exons. The record is from RefSeq and is a predicted model, not a curated record.